RNAcentral lists this ribosomal RNA (331 nucleotides) under uncultured bacterium. RNAcentral's name for it is "bacterial SSU rRNA". It matches the Rfam family "Bacterial small subunit ribosomal RNA", at positions 568 to 898 of the family's 1533-position model. The record is from RNAcentral.
CGCGUAGGCGGUCCAGUUAGUCGGAUGUGAAAGCCCUGGGCUCAACCCAGGAAGUGCAUCCGAAACUGCUGGACUUGAGUACGGGAGAGGGAAGUGGAAUUCCUGGUGUAGGGGUGAAAUCCGUAGAUAUCAGGAGGAACACCGGUGGCGAAGGCGACUUCCUGGACCGAUACUGACGCUGAGGCGCGAAAGCGUGGGGAGCAAACAGGAUUAGAUACCCUGGUAGUCCACGCCGUAAACGGUGGGCACUAGGUGUAGCGGGUAUUGACCCCGCUGUGCCGUAGCUAACGCAUUAAGUGCCCCGCCUGGGGAUUACGGCCGCAAGGUUGAA